Non-coding RNA from Pristis pectinata (smalltooth sawfish), 73 nucleotides. Lineage: Eukaryota; Metazoa; Chordata; Chondrichthyes; Rhinopristiformes; Pristidae. The record is from the annotation of a RefSeq genome assembly.
GCCUUGUUAGCGCAGUAGGCAGUGCGUCAGUCUCAUAAUCUGAAGGUCAUGAGUUCAAGCCUCACUCAGGGCA